AGUGAACGCUGGCGGUAGGCCUAACACAUGCAAGUCGAACGGCAGCACAGUAAGAGCUUGCUCUUACGGGUGUCGAGUGGCGGACGGGGCAGGUAUACAUCGGAAUCUACUCUUUCGUGGGUGCUAACGUAGGGAAACUUACGCUAAUACCGCAUACGACCUACGGGUGAAAGCAGGGGAUCUUCUGACCUUGCGCGAUUGAAUGAGCCGAUGUCGGAUUAGCUAGUUGGCGGGGCAAAGGCGAACCAAGGCGACGAUCCGUAGCAGGUCUGAGAGGGUGGUAACACACACUGGAACUGAGAAACGGUCCCGACUCCUACGGGAGGCCGCGGUGCGGACUCUUACGCGAUGCGGCAAUGCCUGAUCCUGCACUACCGCGUGAGUGAUGAAGGAGUUCGGGCUGUUAAGCCCUUAUGUUGGGAAAGAAGAGCAGCAGUUUAAUCCCCCGCUGUUAUGACGGUACCCAAAGAAUAAGCACCGGCUAACUUCGUG
This 492-nucleotide ribosomal RNA is filed under the name uncultured bacterium. Its description in RNAcentral is "partial 16S ribosomal RNA". It matches the Rfam family "Bacterial small subunit ribosomal RNA", at positions 29 to 507 of the family's 1533-position model. The record is from RNAcentral.